GGGCAGGAGAGCCAGGAAGAGCUGAACUAUGAGGAUUGCUCUCUGGGCAGCUGAGUGGAGGAGGAGGAGCCUCCUGCCCCCACUAUCCCUGAGCUCUCAAUCGCAGCAGGCCCGAGAAGGAAAGUGACCAGGGCAGCAACUGGAGCCUGGGCUGAACAAGUUAAGGGGAUUUUCUGCCCACCUUCCAGGUUGUCCUCCAGCCAAAGGUGUCGGUGUGGAGCGAAUCUUUGCUGUGACCCCUCCCUCCAAACCUCCACCCCUGGAUGCCCAGCUCUGUUUCAGAGCCCAGGAGAGACACCAAAGGAGAAGAGCCUGUGCUUUUGCCCUGGAGACCUCCCACUGUCAUUGAGGAGAAAUAGAUUCACAGGCAUGAAAAGAUAGUUUCCAGUCUGACAUUAAUCCAACGUGUAAAGUCUGUCUUUUUUUUUUUUUUUU
RNAcentral lists this long non-coding RNA (435 nucleotides) under Phascolarctos cinereus (koala). Its description in RNAcentral is "lncRNA (ENSPCIG00000035669.1)". The record is from RNAcentral. Lineage: Eukaryota; Metazoa; Chordata; Mammalia; Diprotodontia; Phascolarctidae.